Molecule: microRNA precursor, 202 nt
Filed under: Oryza glumipatula
Lineage: Eukaryota; Viridiplantae; Streptophyta; Magnoliopsida; Poales; Poaceae
Description: MIR812 microRNA precursor family
Rfam family: MIR812 microRNA precursor family
Source: Rfam by way of RNAcentral
UUUAAGUACAGUUUUGUAUUGUUCUCAAAGUUUGACUGUCCGUCUUAUUUAAAAAUAAUUUUAUGAUUAAUAUUUUAUUGUUAUUAUUAGACGAUAAAACAUAAAAUACAUGUAUGAUUUUUUUAAAAAAAAUUAUAAAUUUUUUAAAUAAGAUGAAUGAUCAAAUUAAUGCUGGACACGGAAACGCAUAACUACACUUAAA